RNAcentral lists this non-coding RNA (23 nucleotides) under Cricetulus griseus (Chinese hamster). The record is from RNAcentral. Lineage: Eukaryota; Metazoa; Chordata; Mammalia; Rodentia; Cricetidae.
GAAGAAGUGACUAAAGAAGAGAG